This 455-nucleotide ribosomal RNA is filed under the name uncultured bacterium. RNAcentral describes it as "bacterial SSU rRNA". It matches the Rfam family "Bacterial small subunit ribosomal RNA", at positions 340 to 786 of the family's 1533-position model. The record is from RNAcentral.
UACGGAAGGCAGCAGUGGGGAAUAUUGCACAAUGGGCGAAAGCCUGAUGCAGCUAUGCCGCGUGUAUGAAGAAGGCCUUAGGGUUGUAAAGUACUUUCAUCGGGGAGGAAAAAACAAAACUAAUAAUUUUAUUUCUUGACGUUACCCGAAAAAGAAGCACCGGCUAACUCCGUGCCAGCAGCCGCGGUAAUACGGAGGGUGCUAGCGUUAAUCAGAAUUACUGGGCGUAAAGAGCACGUAGGUGGUUUUUUAAGUCAGAUGUGAAAUCCCUGGGCUUAACCUAGGAACUGCAUUUUGAAACUGAAAUACUAGAGUAUCGUAGAGGGAGGUAGAAUUCUAGGUGUAGCGGUGAAAUGCGUAGAUAUCUGGAGGAGUACCUGUGGCGAAAGCGGCCUCCUAAACGAAUACUGACACUGAGGUGCGAAAGCGUGGGGAGCAAACAGGGAUUAGAUACC